This is a long non-coding RNA of Oncorhynchus keta (chum salmon), 280 nucleotides long. RefSeq lists it as uncharacterized. The record is from RefSeq and is a predicted model, not a curated record. The transcript has 4 exons. NCBI's taxonomy places the organism in Eukaryota, Metazoa, Chordata, Actinopteri, Salmoniformes, Salmonidae.
GUUUCCCUCAGGGGGAAGAUGGAGGAGAAGUUUCCCUCAGGGGGAAGAUGGAGGAGAAGUUUCCCUCGGGGGGAAGAUGGAGGAGAAGUUUCCCUCGGGGGGAAGAUGGAGGAGAAGUUUCCCUCGUGGGGAAGAUGGAGGAGAGGUUUCCCUCUGGGAGGAAGAUGGAGGAGAGGUUUCCCUCUGGGAGGAAGAUGGAGGAGAGGUUUCCCUCUGGGAGGAAGAUGGAGGAGAGGUUUCCCUCUGGGAGGAAGAUGGAGGAGAGGUUUCCCUCUGGGAG